Molecule: small RNA, 629 nt
Filed under: Pan troglodytes (chimpanzee)
Lineage: Eukaryota; Metazoa; Chordata; Mammalia; Primates; Hominidae
Description: processed transcript
Source: RNAcentral
ACAGAAAGCCGGUCUCCUCAUGAGAAACAGAUACACAGGACAAACUACACAAGUUUUCCAGAAGAAAAAGAACAGAGCUUGUUUUAAGAAAUUUGUACUUUUCAUUUCAUUACUUAGGAAUUACAAGAGACUUUGCAGAAGGGUAAAAAUGGGGAGCGACAUCCCUCAGAUAGAAAUGAGAUGCAAAGACCACGUGAGUUACCUGCCCGGUCCCAGUAAGGAGAAAUCAACAUCUCAUGGCAGAAGUUUCAGUGUACACUCCUGCCUUUAGUCCAACAUACAAACCAUUACAAGAGGAUGCAAUUUAUCCCUGUUUUCUUUUUUAAAGUAUGAAAGAGAGAAUUCACAAACACUAAAUCUUUCUAAAGGUACAACAUGGUAAAGGAAUGAAAGGGUCUGCAUAAAAUAAUCUAGAAAAAAAAAAAAGAAGGGAAGGUAGUUGAAUCUAUACCAGGGAUGGGCAAAUGACUGCCCAUGCAUGGCCUGUUUUGUAUGGGCAGUGAGUUAAGAAUAAAGAGCUGUAAAUAAAACAAAAAAAGAAUAAGCUGCAGAGACAUGUGGCCUGUAAAGCCUAAAAUAUUUAUUAGCUGGAUCUUUACAGAACAAAUCUGCUGAAUCCUGUUGUAUAC